GGUUAUGGCUCAGGGGUAAAGUGCUUGCCUCACAUGUGCAAGGCCCUGGGUUCGAUCCUCAGCACCA
RNAcentral lists this transfer RNA (67 nucleotides) under Marmota monax (woodchuck). RNAcentral's name for it is "tRNA.Val". The record is from RNAcentral. Lineage: Eukaryota; Metazoa; Chordata; Mammalia; Rodentia; Sciuridae.